This 369-nucleotide ribosomal RNA is filed under the name uncultured eukaryote. RNAcentral's name for it is "partial 18S ribosomal RNA". It matches the Rfam family "Eukaryotic small subunit ribosomal RNA", at positions 592 to 975 of the family's 1831-position model. The record is from RNAcentral.
CAAUAGCGUAUAUUAAAGUUGUUGCAGUUAAAAAGCUCGUAGUUGGAUUUCUGGUCGGAAGCUCCUGUCCUCUGAUGAGCGUACAAGUGCGUCCUACCAUCCUUCUGUUAACCUUUAAGGCUUUCGCGGCUUUCUAGGGGCUCAGAUAUUUUACCUUGAGAAAAUUAGAGUGUUUCAGGCAGGCUAGCGCCGGAAUACAUUAGCAUGGAAUAAUGGAAUAGGACUUUUGCCUCUUCUGUUGGUCAUGAGGCUCGAGUAAUGAUUAAUAGGGGUAGUUGGGGGCAUUAGUACUUAACUGUCAGAGGUGAAAUUCUCGGAUUUGUUAAAGACUAACUUAUGCGAAAGCAUUUGCCAAGGAUGUUUUCAUUA